RNAcentral lists this ribosomal RNA (253 nucleotides) under uncultured bacterium. Its description in RNAcentral is "partial 16S ribosomal RNA". It matches the Rfam family "Bacterial small subunit ribosomal RNA", at positions 524 to 776 of the family's 1533-position model. The record is from RNAcentral.
UACAGAGGGCGCGAGCGUUGUCCGGAAUCACUGGGCGUAAAGGGCGCGUAGGUGGCGGCAUAAGGCCGUGGUGAAAGUCUGGAGCUCAACUCCAGAUCGGCCAUGGCAACUGUGUCGCUAGGGCACCGUAGAGGCAGAUGGAAUUCCAGGUGUAGCGGUGAAAUGCGUAGAUAUCUGGAGGAACAUCGGUGGCGAAGGCGGCUCACUGGACGACUGUUGACGCUGAGGUACGAAAGCGUGGGGAGCAAACAGG